Molecule: long non-coding RNA, 1278 nt
Filed under: Gossypium barbadense (sea-island cotton)
Lineage: Eukaryota; Viridiplantae; Streptophyta; Magnoliopsida; Malvales; Malvaceae
Description: long non-coding RNA (GBAR_LNC005221)
Source: RNAcentral
AUCCAGUUUUUUUUAAAAAAAAGAGUGCUCUAGAAACAUCUUCAUUUUAGCCGAAAAAAUUAAAAAUCCCCUCUUAAAAAACAACAAAAUCUGGGGAAACAAAACAUUAAAGACACUUUACAUCAUUCCGAUAUUUUCACAGCCAUUCCCUCCAAAGUCUCUUCUUCUCCCCCAAAGCUACUCAGUCACUAGAGACCCUUCACAACUUAGACCUCUCCUAUCCUUCUCCAUCGCUUCUCUAGCAAACUCAGAGACCUCAUCUCUUAAGCACCACUGUUCUCAUGUCUUCAAUCCCUCAGUAGCCAGCAAGUGAGUGACGUCGUUCACCGUUAUAGGGCAAUAUUUGAAUAUACAAGUACGAAAUUGUUUACCCAAACAUUUUCCAUCUCUGAUUAAGACCACUAUUUUCGAUUUAUCCUCCCUCUCGUGUAAUAGCUUUUUUAUGACAGUGGGUGCAUCUCCUUUAACCUCCGUAUCCAUUAGUCCUAGAUCCAGUCCCAUCUGGAUGCUUUGAAUGCAUGCAAUAGCUUCUACCAUAAAGACUGAAGGUACAUUCUCAUUAGUGAUCGUUUUUUAGCAUAGUACAAGUCUCUCAGAGUUUCGAAUCACAGUCCUCGAACAUGAUUUUUCCUUAUGCUUUUUGUAGGCUGUGUCAAAAUUGAUUUUUACGAACAGAGGCUUCGAUGGUUGCCAACUUUCCGACUCCACAUGCCGAACAUAUAAGGGAAUCUAUACCCCAUCAAGCUCUCGAACAUAAUUUCUUAUUGAAGUUGCAAUGCAGUUCCCAUAUCUUUUCUAACCCUCAUGAAUCCACUUAUUCAGUUCUGUCCAAAUAGACCAUAGAGCAUAUACGAACAUUCUACACUGGUUAUUGGUGUUGUGCUCAAAGAACCAGGUAACCCACUCCAAUAUCUCUAUACUUGACACCCUUUUUGGCCUGGACCAGCCUAAAUGAUUCCAUUUAUCUUUUGUCUCAGGCACUCACGCAGGGCAUGGAUAUCGGUUUCAAUUUCACCUGCUCAUCCCAGACAGAUACUAGAAGUAGUAACUCUCCUAUGUGUAGAUUACAUAGGGUAGGAAGAUAAUUUUUUGAGAUUCGUCAGAUUGUAAUUUUCAGUUUAGAGGGUAAUUUUAAGCCCUACAAUUAUUUUUCUUAUAAAAAUUCCCUAUUUCUACCUAAUUAUAUACAUGUAACACCCUAACCCGUAUCCAUUGCCGGAAUAGGGUUACAAGGCAUAACCGAUAAAUCACAACAUAAAUCAUACAUUUGUGCAAUCA